RNAcentral lists this ribosomal RNA (216 nucleotides) under Glomeromycotina sp. Its description in RNAcentral is "partial small subunit ribosomal RNA". The stretch from base 40 to 216 matches the Rfam family "Eukaryotic small subunit ribosomal RNA", at positions 686 to 864 of the family's 1831-position model. Lineage: Eukaryota; Fungi; Glomeromycota. The record is from RNAcentral.
GGGUCAGUAGGCUGGUCGUGCCCCCGGUAAGUACUGGUCUCACUGAUUCCUCCUUCCUGAAGAACCGUAAUGCCAUUAAUUUGGUGUUGCGGGGAAACAGGACUGUUACUUUGAAAAAAUUAGAGUGUUUAAAGCAAGCUAACGCUUGAAUACAUUAGCAUGGAAUAAUGAAAUAGGACGAUCGAUCCUAUAUUGUUGGUUUCUAGGAUUGACGUA